AAAGAAGAAAGUUACUUAGAGCGUAUGGGGGAUGCCUAGGCUCUCAAAGGCGAAGAAGGACGUGAUAAGCUGCGAAAAGCUGCGGGGAGCUGCAAAUAAGCCCUGAUCCGCAGAUGUCCGAAUGGGGCAACCCUCCCGAGUCAAAUCGGGAAUACCGUGUAAACGGUAGGCAAACCCGGGGAACUGAAACAUCUCAUUACCCGGAGGAAAAGAAAACAAUAGUGAUUCCCAGAGUAGUGGCGAGCGAAAUGGGAACAGCCCAAACCGAUGUUGUUCAGGCAAUGUCGGGGUUGUAGGACCAUCAGACGUGAGUAAAUCUUAAGUGGAACGAUUUGGAAAGGUCGGCCGAAGGAGGUGACAGCCCUGUACACGUAAGAGAUGAAUCACAGGUGGUAUCCUGAGUAAGGCGGGACACGAGGAAUCCUGUCUGAACCAGCCGGGACCAUCCGGUAAGGCUAAAUACUUUUGAGAGACCGAUAGUGGACAAGUACCGUGAGGGAAAGGUGAAAAGAACCCCGAACAGGGGAGUGAAAUAGUACCUGAAACCAUACGCUUACAAGCGGUCGGAGUUCCGCAUGCGGAAUGACGGCGUGCCUUUUGCAUAAUGAGCCUACGAGUUAGUCGUUGCUAGCGAGGUUAAGGGGUUAAGCCCCGGAGCCGAAGCGAAAGCGAGUCUGAAUAGGGCAUAUAGUUAGCAGCGCUAGACGCGAAACCUUGUGAUCUACCCAUGGCCAGGCUGAAGGUCCGGUAACACGGAGUGGAGGGCCGAACCAGGGAACGUUGAAAAGUUCUUGGAUGAGCUGUGGGUAGGGGUGAAAGGCCAAUCAAACUGGGAAAUAGCUCGUACUCCCCGAAAUGCCUUUAGGGGCAGCCUCGAUAUAGUUUUACAGAGGUAGAGCUACUGAUUGGAUGCGAGGGCUUCACCGCCUAUCAAAUCCAGACAAACUCCGAAUGCUGUAAAAUGUUUAUCGGGAGUGAGGGCAUGGGUGCUAAGGUCCGUGUCCGAAAGGGAAAGAACCCAGAUCAUCAGUUAAGGUCCCCAAGUGUGUGUUAAGUUGAAAAAACGAGGUCUGGCUGCAGAGACAGCUAGGAUGUUGGCUUGGAAGCAGCCAUUCAUUUAAAGAGUGCGUAACAGCUCACUAGUCGAGCGGCCGGGCAUGGAUAAUAAUCGGGCAUUAAACACACCACCGAAACUGUGGAUUUCUGACUAUAAGUCAGGAGUGGUAGGGGAGCAUUCCAAACGGCGCAGAAGGUGAACUGUAAGGUUUGCUGGAGCGUUUGGAAAAGCAAAUGUAGGCAUAAGUAACGAUAAUGCGGGUGAGAAACCCGCACGCCGAUAGACUAAGGUUUCCUGAUCAACGUUAAUCGGAUCAGGGUAAGCCGGGGCCUAAGGUGAACCCGAAGGGGGUAGCCGAUGGACAGCAGGUUAAUAUUCCUGCGCACCAUAUACAAUGAAAGUGACGGAGAGACGUAGUUGCUGGGAGCUGACGGAAUAGCUCGCUGAGCAUAGCCUUCGGGCGAAGCGAAGCAAUGAACUUUCUUCCAAGAAAAGCGAGUAUAUGGUCCCGUACCGCAAACCGACACAGGUAGUCAAGGAGAGAAUCCUGAGGCGCUCGAGUGAUUCGCGGCUAAGGAACUAGGCAAAAUGACCCCGUAACUUAGGGAGAAGGGGAUCCCGCAGCGAUGCGGGACGCAGAGAAAUGAUCCAGGCGACUGUUUAACAAAAACACAGGGCUAUGCUAAAUCGCAAGAUGACGUAUAUGGCCUGACACCUGCCCGGUGCCGGAAGGUUAAGAGGGGAUGUUAUCGCAAGAGAAGCAUUGAAUUGAAGCCCCGGUAAACGGCGGCCGUAACUAUAACGGUCCUAAGGUAGCGAAAUUCCUUGUCGGGUAAGUUCCGACCUGCACGAAUGGUGUAACGAUCUGGAUACUGUCUCGGCCGCGAGCUCGGUGAAAUUGUAGUAGCGGUGAAGAUGCCGCUUACCCGCAACGGGACGGAAAGACCCCGUGAACCUUUACUGCAACUUCACAUUGACUCUGGGUAAGUGAUGUGUAGGAUAGGCCGGAGACUAUGAAUCGGUUUCGCCAGGAAUCGAGGAGUCAUCCUUGAAAUACGGCCCUUUGCUUACUUGGAGCCUAAUCCCGUAACCGGGAGACAGUGUGUGGUGGGUAGUUUGACUGGGGUGGUCGCCUCCAAAAGCGUAACGGAGGCUCCCAAAGGUACCCUCAUGGCGAUUGGUAACCGCCAGUAGAGUGUAAUGGUAUAAGGGUGCUUGACUGUGAGACCGACGGGUCGAUCAGGUGGGAAACCAGGGCAUAGUGAUCCGGUGGUUCCGAAUGGAAGGGCCAUCGCUCAAAGGAUAAAAGGUACUCCGGGGAUAACAGGCUGAUCGCUCCCAAGAGCUCAUAUCGACGGAGCGGUUUGGCACCUCGAUGUCGGCUCGUCACAUCCUGGGGCUGGAGAAGGUCCCAAGGGUUCGGCUGUUCGCCGAUUAAAGUGGCACGCGAGCUGGGUUCAGAACGUCGUGAGACAGUUCGGUCCCUAUCUGUUGUGGGCGCAGGAGAUUUGCGAGGACCUGACACUAGUACGAGAGGACCGCGUUGGACAGACCUCUAGUGUACCAGUUGUUCCGCCAGGAGCAUCGCUGGGUAGCUAUGUCUGGAUGAGAUAAGCGCUGAAAGCAUCUAAGCGCGAAGCUCACCUCAAGAUGAGAUCUCCAUUGAGGGCCGUGGGAGACUACCACGUUGAUAGGCUGCAGGUGGAAGGGCGGUAACGUCCGUAGCCGAGCAGUACUAAUUGCCCGAAAGCUUUCUUGA
Molecule: ribosomal RNA, 2816 nt
Filed under: Bacteroidales bacterium 6E
Lineage: Bacteria; Pseudomonadati; Bacteroidota; Bacteroidia; Bacteroidales
Description: 23S rRNA
Rfam family: Bacterial large subunit ribosomal RNA
Source: RNAcentral